RNAcentral lists this ribosomal RNA (373 nucleotides) under uncultured organism. Its description in RNAcentral is "bacterial SSU rRNA". It matches the Rfam family "Bacterial small subunit ribosomal RNA", at positions 526 to 896 of the family's 1533-position model. The record is from RNAcentral.
CGGGGGGAGCAAGCGUUGUUCGGAUUUACUGGGCGUAAAGGGCGCGUAGGCGGCGUGACAAGUCACUUGUGAAAUCUCCGGGCUUAACCCGGAGCGGCCAAGUGAUACUGUCGUGCUAGAGUGCGGAAGGGGCUACUGGAAUUCUCGGUGUAGCGGUGAAAUGCGUAGAUAUCGAGAGGAACACCUGCGGCAAAGGCGGGUAGCUGGGCCGACACUGACGCUGAGGCGCGAAAGCCAGGGGAGCGAACGGGAUUAGAUACCCCGGUAGUCCUGGCCUUAAACGAUGGAUACUUGGUGUCCGGGGUUACAUAGUCCCCGGGUGCCGGCGCUAACGCAUUAAGUAUCCCGCCUGGGGAGUACGGUCGCAAGACUG